Long non-coding RNA from Papaver somniferum (opium poppy), 2798 nucleotides. RefSeq lists it as uncharacterized. The record is from RefSeq and is a predicted model, not a curated record. NCBI's taxonomy places the organism in Eukaryota, Viridiplantae, Streptophyta, Magnoliopsida, Ranunculales, Papaveraceae. The transcript has 3 exons.
UAACCUCAUAAAACUUCCGCCUCCGAAAAAACCCUAAGGUUAAGAUCAAAUCUUCUGUUAUGGGAUUGCAUCAUUGAAUCUGUAAUGAUAAUACAAAGGCUAAGAUUGUGAUUUCUUUUUCAUUUUCACUGUAUUUAGUCAAUUCUCUUUACAUGAAACCGAGAUUUGUUUUUCAUUUUUGUAUAUUCUGAUUAGAUUUGUUGAAAACCCAGACUGGAUUUGGGGUUUUUAGUUAGAUUCAUGAAAAUUGUUUUGCCCAAUUUUGAAUCUCGUGUUUUGGUUUUGUUCAAUUUUUAGAUUUGUUGUUUGGGUUUAGGUAUGAAAAGCCAGUGAUGUAUGGAUAAUAUUUGCUACUCUUGAUGGGGGUGAAAGCCCCCUUUUUUGAUUUAAUGAUUUUUCAUAUCAUCCCUAACCCUUUUUUUUUUAUUUAAUGAUUUUUUUUUUUAGCUCUGUUUUGGGUAGAACUAAUUUCUAAGUUGAUUUGCCUUAUUUAUUCUAUACUUCUGGACAACAGUAUACUCCAGUGAUAGAUAUUAGGAGUAUCGGCUGCAUAUUUGCUUAAGUAUUAACAGGGAAACCUCUGUUUCCUGGUAAAAAUGUUGUUCACCAGUUGGAUUUGAUGAUUGACCUGCUUGGUACGCCCUCGUUGGAUACUAUUUCUCAGGUUUGUGUUCUAUGUGUACGUCCGCAAUGACAAGGCCAGGAAAUACCUUACCAGCAUGAGGAAGAAGCAGCCGGUGUCACUCGCGCAGAAGCUCCCAAAUGCUGAUCCUUUUGCUGUCAAACUUUUAGAAAGGCUCUUAGCGUUUGAUCCAAAGGAUAGACCAACUGCAGAAGACGUAAACAUGAUUCUUUUUGCACUUUUAGUCUCAAAAAUCUCAUAGAGAUAAUUAUCCAGUUCUUAAAUUUAAGCUUACUUUUAAUGACAUCUGGAUUUUGCUGGCUAGCUUUGUUGGUGAUGCCCCAAAAUCUCAUAUCUUAUUGUUUUGUUUCUUGUAAAUUGUCUGAAUACCAUGUUUUGGCCAGGCAUUGGCUGAUCCAUACUUUAAAAGCUUGUCAAGGGCAGAGAGGGAACCACUUUGCCAUCCAAUCACCAAGCUAGAGUGAGUUUAAGAGGUAUUGCCUUUCUAUUGAAGGGCGAGUAUGACAUUAUAAGUCGGAAAGGGAAUUGUGUUAGGAUUUCAUUGAAAGGUGAGUAUGACAUUGUUAGGAUUUCAUCCUUCAUACACUUCAGUUGCAGGUAAUGAAGUGUUUUCCAUUCUAUAUAUUUCCCAUUUGCUUUCAAUUCUAAUGUCUCCCCAUGCAGGUAGUCAUGUUACAUUUGUAAUUAAAAUCUGAUGCCUGUGUGAAAUGUGUGAAUUCAAGCAUGGAUGAAUUGUACUGUCUAAGCUGGAACAUGCGUUCUUACUUGUGCACUUUGAUUGUUUUAGAAGUUCAUAACUGUCCUUGUUUAUAUAUCUCUAAAUAUCUGUUGACUGUGGAUUGUUGCAGGCCCUUUUGGCCGAGGACAGAUGCAGAAGCCUUUUGAAGAGUCAACUUUUGCUCCGAAUAGAUUGUUUUUGUGCAGUCUUUGUUUUCAAUAGAUUGUUUUUCAUGUUUUUGAUAGAGUUGGGGGAAAACCAUGGAAUACCAUAAUCCUGGUCAAGGAUCAUGCCUGCUCGCUUCAAGGUUAAAAAAGUUCAACUCCAUGGUGAUGAAUUGGCCACUGUAGAAGUUUUGGAUCCUGACUUUGGAGAGGCGGCAAUUGGACGGGCUGCACCAGUUGAUACAGAUAGAGAUGCAGUUCUUUGAUUCUGGCAGUUCAUCGGCAUCUUCUCUAAUAUCAUGUACCGACAGCGUAUGCAGCUCUGUUCAAACUGCUGAGGCUGGUUGUUCUGAAAAUUCUCAGUGUAGUUACCAAUUCAAGUAUCUAGAUGGUACUGGGAAAGCAGGGUUUUAUGUGUUAGACAUGUUGGAUUUUGGCACAGUUACUGGCAAUUCUCUGAUGUCUAACUCUUCAGCUCCCGUUGUUUUAUGGUUAGACCAGUCCCAUCUGAAUGAGCAAUUGAAAUAUAUUGUCUUAAAGAAUUUGAGAAGGGAAUGAAUCAGUUUCGGGUAUGGCUGAAUUUGAGAAGGAAUUUGAUGAAUGUUAGGAGCUAUAAUAUGCAGUCUGUGAAUGGUUUUACAGAGAAGCUGUAAUAUUGGAAGCUCCGGGAUUCAGGGUUUUAGUUGUAAGAAUGUCAUUGCAGGGAAAUGGUUGCUGCUGCAGCUGAACUGAAGGUGCCGUGUAAUUCAAGUUGCAGGUAGUUUUUGUGGUUCUCUGUGAGUUGUUGCCAUGGACUAGGUGGUUGGAAUCUACAGAAGAUGACAUUGCAGUAGUGCAGGUUAUGUUGCUGGUGUGCAAAUGCUUUGUGCUGAGUUGCUCGAGUUUGAGUUCAAGAUGCAGGGAUUUGGAGAAUAAAGCUGUUAAAGUUGAUUACAAGGUAACUGUGGUGAUUACAAGCUGAUGAUUGCAGUUGUUGUACGGAAGCUACAGAUGGUAGUGAUGCUGUCUGAGGUGGUGGUGCAAUAGAAUGGAAGAAUUGGUGUUGAGAUGCAAGCAAUGGUACAUGGUGCUAGAGCUGCAGUUGGAAAUGGAAGUGUUAAAUGGUGACACUGAAUGUAAUGGCCUGAGCUGUUGAAAUUAAAGCUGAAAUGUAUGCUUAGGUGAAUGAAUGUAAAUGUCUUACACUGGCAGGUUAAUGUGAAUGGGAAAUACUUUCGGCAAUUCAGUUUUAGCCCUAAUUUUUUCUUUCAAAAUAUUUUUAUGCACACAACUC